AGUUACACUACAUAUAAAUACUGCUAUGGUACUGUACUCAGUAAACUCCACAAGCACUCAUACAGGACAGUUAUAUCAGAAUUCAAAGAUAGCACUCACAGCCAGGACUGGAGAGAACAGACAAUCAGGACUAAGCCAGCACUCCCAGCCAGGACUGAGGCAGCACUCCCAGCCAGGACUGAGACAGCACUCCCAGCCAGGACUGAGCCAGCACUCCCAGCCAGGACUGAGGCAGCACUCCCAGCCAGGACUGAGGCAGCACUCAUUGCAAGGACUGAGGCAGCACUCCCAGCCAGGACUGAGCCCCCAGCCAGGACUGAGGCAGCACUCCCAGCCAGGACUGAGGCAGCACUCAAAUCAAGGACUGAGCCAGCACUCCCAGCCAGGACUGAACCAGCACUCCUAGCUAGGACUGAGGCAGCACUCCCAGCCAGGACUGAGGCAGCAUUCAAAGCAAGGACUGAGGCAGCAUUCAAAGCAAGGACUGAGGCAGCACUCCCAGCCAGGACUGAGCCCCCAGCCAGGACUGAGGCAGCACUCCCAGCCAGGACUGAGGCAGCACUCAAAUCAAGGAGAGCCAGCACUCCCAGCCAGGACUGAACCAGCACUCCUAGCUAGGACUGAGGCAGCACUCCCAGCCAGGACUGAGGCAGCAUUCAAAGCAAGGACUGAGGCAGCACUCCCAGACAGGACUGAGGCAGCACUCCCAGCCAGGACUGAGGCAGCACUCAAAGAAAGGACUGAGCCAGCACUCCCAGCCAGGACUGAGCCAGCACUCCCAGCCAGGACUGAGCCAGCACUCCCAGCCAGGACUGAGGCAGCACUCCCAGCCAGGACUGAGGCAGCACUCCCAGCCAGGACUGAGCCAGCACUCCCAGCCAGGACUGAGGCAGCACUCCCAGCCAGCAGUGAUACAGAUCCUUCAGAGUAAAAGUGUCCCAGGUUGCCAGGUUUAUUGGAUUUGUUUUCAUGGCUGACUGACCUCUGCCCAUAAGAUAGAAACCUAUUAUCCUUCUGUCAGCAUUCUGUUGCUGUGAAUAAUGGUGGAAGUAAAUAGAAAACUUCUGGAUUUACUGAAAUUGCCAGGAAACUCGGAAUGUGCAGACUGCGGC
This 1112-nucleotide long non-coding RNA is filed under the name Pelobates cultripes (western spadefoot toad). Lineage: Eukaryota; Metazoa; Chordata; Amphibia; Anura; Pelobatidae. The record is from RNAcentral.